CUCAGGAUGAACGCUGGCGGCGUGCCUAACACAUGCAAGUCGAACGGAAAGUAAGCGCUUCGGAGACUUCGGUCAAUGUUGCUUGCUUUAGUGGCGGACGGGUGAGUAACGCGUGGAUAACCUGCCAUAUACAGGGGGAUAACAGUUAGAAAUGACUGCUAAUACCGCAUAAGCGCACGGAAACGCAUGUUUCAGUGUGAAAAAACUCCGGUGGUAUAUGAUGGAUCCGCGUCUGAUUAGCCAGUUGGCGGGGUAACGGCCCACCAAAGCGACGAUCAGUAGCCGGCCUGAGAGGGUGAACGGCCACAUUGGGACUGAGACACGGCCCAAACUCCUACGGGAGGCAGCAGUGGGGGAUAUUGCACAAUGGGGGAAACCCUGAUGCAAGCGACGCCGCGUGAGUGAAGAAGUAUUUCGGUAUGUAAAGCUCUAUCAGCAGGGAAGAUAAUGACGGUACCUGACUAAGAAGCACCGGCUAAAUACGUGCCAGCCGCGGC
This 497-nucleotide ribosomal RNA is filed under the name uncultured bacterium. RNAcentral's name for it is "bacterial SSU rRNA". It matches the Rfam family "Bacterial small subunit ribosomal RNA", at positions 23 to 518 of the family's 1533-position model. The record is from RNAcentral.